UGGGGAAUCUUAGACAAUGGGGGAAACCCUGAUCUAGCCAUGCCGCGUGAGUGACGAAGGCCUUAGGGUCGUAAAGCUCUUUCGCCAGGGAUGAUAAUGACAGUACCUGGUAAAGAAACCCCGGCUAACUCCGUGCCAGCAGCCGCGGUAACACGGAGGGGGUUAGCGUUGUUCGGAAUUACUGGGCGUAAAGCGCACGUAGGCGGUUCGUUAAGUCGACUGUGAAAGCCCAUGGCUCAACCAUGGAAGUGCAGUCGAUACUGGCAGACUGGAGUCCCGGAGAGGGUGGUAGAAUUCCCAGUGUAGAGGUGAAAUUCGUAGAUAUUGGGAGGAAUACCGGUGGCGAAGGCGACCACCUGGACGGGUACUGACGCUGAGACGCGAAAGCGUGGGGAGCAAACAGGAUUAGAUACCCGUGUAGUCC
RNAcentral lists this ribosomal RNA (424 nucleotides) under uncultured prokaryote. Its description in RNAcentral is "bacterial SSU rRNA". It matches the Rfam family "Bacterial small subunit ribosomal RNA", at positions 355 to 796 of the family's 1533-position model. The record is from RNAcentral.